UUGGUCAAAUUAAUUUACACACAUGUAUACAUUGGCAAAAGUAGCUGUUACAGCAGAUAGGACCAGCAAGCAUGAAUAAACACAUUAGUUACAUGUAAUUACAAUGCACAAAAUGAUAAAGCUACGCAAUAUAUAUUUACAUAAAUAUUGUGUUUAUUGACGCUUGCCGGUCCUAUAAAUGAACAAUGGACUGACAAAGCGACGACAGAAAUAUGUUUCUGUGGGUCCUAUUUCUGUUUCUCUUUUUUAUUAAAAAAUUAAAAUAUUAAAAUAACAAAGUUCACGGGCUCUUUCCUUUCUCCCUCGUUACACUCUUUCUCUCGCGUGUCCUAGCUGCCAGCUGCAGCCAUAAGCUCCACCGCAGCAGCUGUUUUCUCCCGUCUCCACGCAGUUGCCUCAUUCCCAACAGUACAACAACAAGUCUUUUUGCUAUCAUACCCUCACAUACACAACUGUCUCAUCCAAUGAAUCGAUCUCAUUCAAGGCGAUCAAGCUUCACUCCAACUUCCAAAAGCUUUGAUCUAGCAAUAAUGUCAUCAUUGAGCCUUUGUCGUUGUUGUUCUCAGCUUUUGUUCUGUACUUUGCCAUCUAUCUCUUCCAUCAACUUUGCAGCCUCUAAAUUGUUCUAGUUUGUUUAUCAAAUUUAUUACCCACUUUUGCCAUAAAAAAAAUUUAGAGUUUGUAACUUUGAUUAAAAAUUCCCAUGCUUGUCAAUUAAAGUGAAGCAUUUUGUUUGUAAUUUUUGUAGUAUUUAAAGCAACUAUAUUGUUUAAUUAAUUAUUUUUCUUGCUCUACCCGUGUUUUGUUUUAAUUUGCUUCUUUGUGUUUCAAUCCUCAGCAGGAUACUUCUGAGUGGGCUGAAAGCAAAAGCACACAACUUAGUAAAUAAAUUAAUUUCGUUCAAAGCACCAAGUAAUACAAUCCAAAAAAAAAAGCACUACCGCAUUCUUCAUUCUUUAAAAAAAAAACAAAUACAAAGUUAUUUUGUGAAAUCACUUCUAAACAUUACUGCGAUUAUGUUGUGAGAAAAGAGACUGCUACAGUGGAGCUUGUUGCAGCGGCUGGCAGCUUGGAGGUGAGAGAGAAAGAGUUGUGAUGAGGGAGAAAUGAAAGAGCCAAACGCGUGAAGGUGGCUGGUGGGUGCUUUUGUUGCGUGUGUGAAAUCGUAAGAGACAUUUCAUACUUUAUUUCGUGAGAACAUCGUUUUUCUUUUUUAAACUUAUUUUAUUAUUUAUUGUCAACCCCACAAAAAAAUUAGAAAAAGGAACGCGUGAAAUUAGCUGCCGUUUCUAUCGUCCCUUUGUCUUCGUCCCUUUGUCUUCCAUUUGUUAGUUUAUCAUUUUCCUUGUUGGAAAAGAUUAACCUCAAAAAAAAAAAAAUGUUAAAAAAUAGCAAGCGGAAUAUUUUCUAGCUUGGUCAAUAAGAUAGAAAGUUCACUGAUAAGAAUGUGCUAUGAAAGAAUAUGAGAUCUAGCUUUAUUGAGUUAACGUCAUUGGUUAGGAAACUUUGUCACAUGGUUUAAAAAUGGAUUAUGAAUACUAAUUUCAAUAUGUC
This 1554-nucleotide long non-coding RNA is filed under the name Citrus sinensis (sweet orange). RNAcentral describes it as "long non-coding RNA (CSIN_LNC001855)". Lineage: Eukaryota; Viridiplantae; Streptophyta; Magnoliopsida; Sapindales; Rutaceae. The record is from RNAcentral.